RNAcentral lists this ribosomal RNA (253 nucleotides) under uncultured bacterium. RNAcentral describes it as "partial 16S ribosomal RNA". It matches the Rfam family "Bacterial small subunit ribosomal RNA", at positions 524 to 776 of the family's 1533-position model. The record is from RNAcentral.
UACGUAGGUGGCAAGCGUUGUCCGGAAUUAUUGGGCGUAAAGCGCGCGCAGGCGGCUUCUUAAGUCUGAUGUGAAAUCUCGGGGCUCAACCCCGAGCGGCCAUUGGAAACUGGGAAGCUUGAGUACAGAAGAGGAGAGUGGAAUUCCACGUGUAGCGGUGAAAUGCGUAGAUAUGUGGAGGAACACCAGUGGCGAAGGCGACUCUCUGGUCUGUAACUGACGCUGAGGCGCGAAAGCGUGGGUAGCAAACAGG